GACGAACGCUGGCGGCGUGCUUAACACAUGCAAGUCGAACGGAAAGGCCCUGCUUUUGUGGGGUGCUCGAGUGGCGAACGGGUGAGUAACACGUGAGUAACCUGCCCUUGACUUUGGGAUAACUUCAGGAAACUGGGGCUAAUACCGGAUAGGAGCUCCUGCUGCAUGGUGGGGGUUGGAAAGUUUCGGCGGUUGGGGAUGGACUCGCGGCUUAUCAGCUUGUUGGUGGGGUAGUGGCUUACCAAGGCUUUGACGGGUAGCCGGCCUGAGAGGGUGACCGGCCACAAUGGGACUGAGGUACGGACCAGACUCCAACGGGAGGCAGCAGUGGGGAAUAUUGCACAAUGGGCGGAAGCCUGAUGCAGCAACGCCGCGUGCGGGAUGACGGCCUUCGGGUUGUAAACCGCUUUCGCCUGUGACGAAGCGUGAGUGACGGUAAUGGGUAAAGAAGCACCGGCUAACUACGUG
Molecule: ribosomal RNA, 468 nt
Filed under: uncultured bacterium
Lineage: Bacteria
Description: partial 16S ribosomal RNA
Rfam family: Bacterial small subunit ribosomal RNA
Source: RNAcentral